RNAcentral lists this ribosomal RNA (252 nucleotides) under uncultured bacterium. RNAcentral describes it as "partial 16S ribosomal RNA". It matches the Rfam family "Bacterial small subunit ribosomal RNA", at positions 524 to 776 of the family's 1533-position model. The record is from RNAcentral.
UACGUAGGGUGCGAGCGUUAAUCGGAAUUACUGGGCGUAAAGCGUGCGCAGGCGGUUUUGUAAGACAGGCGUGAAAUCCCCGGGCUCAACCUGGGAAUGGCGCUUGUGACUGCAAGCUAGAGUGCGGCAGAGGGGGAUGGAAUUCCGCGUGUAGCAGUGAAAUGCGUAGAUAUGCGGAGGAACACCGAUGGCGAAGGCAAUCCCCUGGGCCUGCACUGACGCUCAUGCACGAAAGCGUGGGGAGCAAACAGG